Molecule: ribosomal RNA, 417 nt
Filed under: Streptomyces exfoliatus
Lineage: Bacteria; Bacillati; Actinomycetota; Actinomycetes; Kitasatosporales; Streptomycetaceae
Description: bacterial SSU rRNA
Rfam family: Bacterial small subunit ribosomal RNA
Source: RNAcentral
GGCUCAGGACGAACGCUGGCGGCGUGCUUAACACAUGCAAGUCGAACGAUGAAGCCCUUCGGGGUGGAUUAGUGGCGAACGGGUGAGUAACACGUGGGCAAUCUGCCCUUCACUCUGGGACAAGCCCUGGAAACGGGGUCUAAUACCGGAUAACACCGGCUUCCGCAUGGGAGCUGGUUAAAAGCUCCGGCGGUGAAGGAUGAGCCCGCGGCCUAUCAGCUUGUUGGUGGGGUAAUGGCCUACCAAGGCGACGACGGGUAGCCGGCCUGAGAGGGCGACCGGCCACACUGGGACUGAGACACGGCCCAGACUCCUACGGGAGGCAGCAGUGGGGAAUAUUGCACAAUGGGCGAAAGCCUGAUGCAGCGACGCCGCGUGAGGGAUGACGGCCUUCGGGUUGUAAACCUCUUUCAGCAG